GUCAUAUGCUUGUCUCAAAGAUUAAGCCAUGCAUGUCUCAGUACAAACUAAAUUAAAGUGAAACCGCGAAAGGCUCAUUAAAUCAGUUAUGGUUCCUUAGAUCGUACCACACAUUUACUUGGAUAACUGUGGUAAUUCUAGAGCUAAUACAUGCAAACAGAGUUCCAACCAGAGAUGGAAGGAAUGCUUUUAUUAGAACAAAACCAAUCGAUAUCAAUUUUUUGAUAUUAUUAUAUUUUUUAAAUAUUUUAUAUUGAUAAUUGUUUAUCGUAAUUAUAUGUGAUGAAUCUGAAUAACUUUUUGCUGAUCGCAUGGUCUUGAACCGGCGACGCAUCUUUCAAAUGUCUGCCUUAUCAACUGUCGAUGGUAGGUUCUGCGCCUACCAUGGUUGUAACGGGUAACGGGGAAUCAGGGUUCGAUUCCGGAGAGGGAGCCUGAGAAACGGCUACCACAUCCAAGGAAGGCAGCAGGCGCGCAAAUUACCCACUCCCAGCACGGGGAGGUAGUGACGAAAAAUAACGAUACGGGACUCAUCCGAGGCCCCGUAAUCGGAAUGAGUACACUUUAAAUCCGUUAACAAGGAUCUAUUGGAGGGCAAGUCUGGUGCCAGCAGCCGCGGUAAUUCCAGCUCCAAUAGCGUAUAUUAAAGUUGUUGCGUUUAAAAAGCUCGUAGUUGAAUUUGUGUUACACGCUGUCGGUUCACCGCCCGCGGUGUUUAACUGGCAUGUUCGUGUGACGUCAUGAUGGUGGAUGGAGUGAUCGUUUUUGUUACCUACCGUAUUACAUGUUCUAUUUGCUAUGUAUUUGUUUUAUGUUUCCUUUUCGGAGGUUACAUUAACAUUUCAUACUAUAGUUUUAUGUGUAUGGUGUAUAGUGUGCUAAGUGGUCGCCAUCCGACUUGAAAAAUCCUGUCGUGGUGCUCUUAAUUGAGUGUCAAGAUGGGCCAUCACGUUUACUUUGAACAAAUUAAAGUGCUUAAAGCAGGCUAAAAUUUUGCCUGAAUAUUAAUUGCAUGGAAUAAUGGAACAGGACCUUGAUUCUAUUUUGUUGGUUUUCGGAAUAUUCAAGGUAAUGAUUAAUAGGGACAGAUGGGGGCAUUCGUAUUGCGACGUUAGAGGUGAAAUUCUUGGAUCGUCGCAAGACGGACAGAAGCGAAAGCAUUUGCCAAAAAUGUUUUCAUUAAUCAAGAACGAAAGUCAGAGGUUCGAAGGCGAUCAGAUACCGCCCUAGUUCUGACCAUAAACGAUGCCAGCUAGCGAUCCGUCGACGUUCCUCCGAUGACUCGACGGGCAGCUUCCGGGAAACCAAAGCUUUUGGGUUCCGGGGGAAGUAUGGUUGCAAAGCUGAAACUUAAAGGAAUUGACGGAAGGGCACCACCAGGAGUGGAGCCUGCGGCUUAAUUUGACUCAACACGGGAAACCUCACCAGGCCCGGACACUGGAAGGAUUGACAGAUUGAGAGCUCUUUCUUGAUUCAGUGGGUGGUGGUGCAUGGCCGUUCUUAGUUGGUGGAGCGAUUUGUCUGGUUAAUUCCGAUAACGAACGAGACUCUAGCCUGUUAACUAGGCGUUUUUACCAAUAUCUUGAAGGCUCGCAUCUUAUAUUGUUUCACAUUCAUGUAUUGUUAUUUCUUUGGGUUUUUUGUUUGUUGUUAUUUUUUUUAGGAAAAAUGGCACGGCAUUAAAUUUCAAAGGGUACUUGCAUGUUUUGUGGCAUAUGAGUUUGCAGUUUUUACUAUUGGCGUACAUAUAUAUCUUCUUAGAGGGACAGGCGGCUUCUAGCCGCACGAGAUUGAGCAAUAACAGGUCUGUGAUGCCCUUAGAUGUUCUGGGCCGCACGCGCGCUACACUGAAGGAAUCAGCGUGUGUUUUCCUUGGCCGAGAGGUCCGGGUAACCCGUUGAAACUCCUUCGUGCUAGGGAUUGGGGCUUGCAAUUAUUCCCCAUGAACGAGGAAUUCCCAGUAAGCGCGAGUCAUAAGCUUGCGUUGAUUACGUCCCUGCCCUUUGUACACACCGCCCGUCGCUACUACCGAUUGAAUGAUUUAGUGAGGUCUUCAGACUGGUACGCGGUGAAAUUUUUAUUUUGCCGAUGUAGCUGGGAAGAUGACCAAACUUGAUCAUUUAGAGGAAGUAA
Molecule: ribosomal RNA, 2133 nt
Filed under: Cymbionotum pictulum
Lineage: Eukaryota; Metazoa; Arthropoda; Insecta; Coleoptera; Carabidae
Description: SSU rRNA
Rfam family: Eukaryotic small subunit ribosomal RNA
Source: RNAcentral